Cyanistes caeruleus (blue tit) is the source of this 1363-nucleotide non-coding RNA. Lineage: Eukaryota; Metazoa; Chordata; Aves; Passeriformes; Paridae. The record is from RefSeq and is a predicted model, not a curated record.
UUUUCCUUCGUUGCUGGUGAUAAUGUAAACCUGACCUGAAGGCUGGCUUUGGUCCAGCCUUGGCAGCUUUCAGUCACUGCACAGAGGAACAGGUAGCCUCUGGCUCUUUGUUUGUUUUAAAAUUUCUGUGAUGAUUGUGAUCUGGCAGAAAGAAGACAGAUGCAGAUCUUGUUUUAAACAACUGUUGUAAUGGACAAUCUUUCCUGUAUCCAAUAGCAGGAACAUUUUCUGCAUUACCCCAAACUUUGUCAUGAUGAAACAUCUUCUGUGAGAUCAGACCUGACUCCUGAUUGCUAUCACCAGCUGUUGUUACCAAGAAACCUGGAGACUUUCCAGAUAACCUGAAUGUUUUAGUACCAUAGAUGAUGGAUGAUAUUUUUCUGCGUCUCUUCUGCCGCUGUUAUGCGGUGAAGUUCAGCCACUCUGUACAAAGGUUAGACCCAGUUAAAACAGACUGUUAAUUAUUUAUGAGACAGCAAGAAGACCAAUGGGACUUCAACUUGUCCUUCUGGAGCAAUAAUGAGACCAUUACAGUCUAUUUAACACCAUGAAAAACAAUAUCCACAGGUGACCUUUCAGAAUCAUUGCCAAGUUGGAUUUAUGGCCAUCAUGUACUCUCACCAAGGAAGAAUAUCAAAGAGGGGCUUAAAGUUAAAUUGGCACUUCAAUUGGUAACAGCAUCCUGAGGUUUGAUAAUAAUAGAAUCUCUUCAUGUUCCUUUAUUUUGUUUAAGGGAGGGAAUGUAUCUCACAGAGAGAAUCUGAUAGCUGCUGUUGUUUCUUAUAAAUUCUGGGAGCCUACUGAAUACUCUGGGUAUGUGCUGUGAUAUGACAUAACGACAGUGCUGAGAUAUUUCUGUGUCUGUACAUACAAAACAUCUGUAUGUGGAGGAAAACCUCAGCACUCCAUUACUUCAGCCACAUAGUCCCCAAAAACAAUGCCAGAUUUUGAAAGACUAAAACCUUUUUCAGUAGUGCUCAGGACACUGAUGUACAAAAGCUGAAUACCACCAUCACCUCCCAGGGAUGAGAAUUAACUUAAAAAUAAAAAAUACGUAAAACUUUGUUUUCAAUUAGUAACUAAAUCAAACUAAAAAUAUGGUUUGCCUGUCCUUUAUGUUAGCAAAUUAUACUGAGGUAGAUACAAUUUCAAUCCUGAUCCCUAGGUGGGCUUGAAGAGACACGUACAUCUAUCAGAACGGUGACUAUAGAAAGAAAUAAAGACUUAAUCUAAAUGCUGUCACUGAACAAAACAGCAGUGUGUAGAACACAUGCAGCUGUGAAACUGCAGAUGGAAUAACAAGGAAACAGAAGCUAACUGCAUGUCUUGAAACAGAUGUGAAGCAGAAGGGGCAUGUUCCGAG